RNAcentral lists this long non-coding RNA (369 nucleotides) under Manihot esculenta (cassava). RNAcentral describes it as "long non-coding RNA (MESC_LNC008174)". The record is from RNAcentral. Lineage: Eukaryota; Viridiplantae; Streptophyta; Magnoliopsida; Malpighiales; Euphorbiaceae.
UCAUGUACGAUGUCAAGGAGAUUAUGAAGGCAACCAUGGAUCUACAUGAACAUUACAGGAUCGGAGGAUCAGUAUAUAGAGCGAACAUCAAUGGUCAGGUCCUAGCAGUAAAGAAAACAAAGGAAGACGUCACAGAAGAACUAAAGAUUCUGCAGAAAGUGAAUCAUGCAAAUCUAGUGAAAUUAAUUGGACUUUCAUCCGACACAGAUGGGAGUUGCUUCUUAGUUUAUGAAUAUGCAGAAAAUGGGUCACUGGACAAGUGGUUGCACCUAAAAUCGGCAUCUUCCUCGAUCUCAGUGGCCUUUCUCUCCUGGAGUCAGAGGUUACAUAUAGCACUAGAUGUAGCCAGUGGGCUGCAAUACAUGCAUG